AUUCGAAGCAACGCGAAGAACCUUACCAAGUCUUGACAUCCUCUUGACCGGCGUGUAACGGCGCCUUUCCUUCGGGACAAGAGAGACAGGUGGUGCAUGGUUGUCGUCAGCUCGUGUCGUGAGAUGUUGGGUUAAGUCCCGCAACGAGCGCAACCCUUAUCCUUAGUAGCCAGCAUUAAGAUGGGCACUCUAGGGAGACUGCCAGGGACAACCUGGAGGAAGGUGGGGAUGACGUCAAAUCAUCAUGCCCCUUAUGAUUUGGGCUACACACGUGCUACAAUGGCGUAAACAAAGGGAAGCGACCCUGCGAAGGUGAGCAAAUCUCAAAAAUAACGUCCCAGUUCGGACUGUAGUCUGCAACCCGACUACACGAAGCUGGAAUCGCUAGUAAUCGCGAAUCAGAAUGUCGCGGUGAAUACGUUCCCGGGUCUUGUACACACCGCCCGUCACACCAUGGGAGUCAGCAACGCCCGAAGUCAGUGACCCAACCGAAAGGAGGGAGCUGCCGAAGGCGGGGCAGGUAACUGGGGUGAAGUCGUAACAAGGUAGCCGUAUCGGAAGGUGCGGCUGGAUCACCUCCUUUCUAAGGAA
RNAcentral lists this ribosomal RNA (591 nucleotides) under Enterocloster asparagiformis. RNAcentral describes it as "bacterial SSU rRNA". It matches the Rfam family "Bacterial small subunit ribosomal RNA", at positions 949 to 1533 of the family's 1533-position model. Lineage: Bacteria; Bacillati; Bacillota; Clostridia; Lachnospirales; Lachnospiraceae. The record is from RNAcentral.